RNAcentral lists this ribosomal RNA (447 nucleotides) under uncultured Bacteroidota bacterium. RNAcentral's name for it is "bacterial SSU rRNA". It matches the Rfam family "Bacterial small subunit ribosomal RNA", at positions 55 to 496 of the family's 1533-position model. Lineage: Bacteria; Pseudomonadati; Bacteroidota. The record is from RNAcentral.
AUGCAAGUCGAACGGUAACAUAGAUUGCUUGCAAUCUGAUGACGAGUGGCGCACGGGUGCGUAACGCGUAUGCAAUCUACCUUUUACAGGAGAAUAGCCCAGAGAAAUUUGGAAUAAUGCUCCAUAAUAUCAUUUAUCAGCAUUGGUUUAUGAUUAAAGCUCCGGCGGUAAAAGAUGAGCAUGCGUUCUAUUAGCUAGUAGGUGAGGUAACGGCUCACCUAGGCUACGAUAGAUAGGGGCCCUGAGAGGGGGAUCCCCCACACUGGUACUGAGACACAGACCAGACUCCUACGGGAGGCAGCAGUGAGGAAUAUUGGACAAUGGAGGAAACUCUGAUCCAGCCAUGCCGCGUGCAGGAUGACUGCCCUAUGGGUUGUAAACUGCUUUUAUAUAGGAAGAAACACUCUCACGUGUGGGGGCUUGACGGUACUAUAGAAUAAGGAUCGG